Molecule: ribosomal RNA, 497 nt
Filed under: uncultured bacterium
Lineage: Bacteria
Description: partial 16S ribosomal RNA
Rfam family: Bacterial small subunit ribosomal RNA
Source: RNAcentral
GACGAACGCUGGCGGCGUGCCUAAUACAUGCAAGUUGAGCGCUGAAGGUUGGUACUUGUCCCCACUGGAUGAGCAGCGAACGGGUGAGUAACGCGUGGGGAAUCUGCCUUUGAGCGGGGGACAACAUUUGGAAACGAAUGCUAAUACCGCAUAAAAACUUUAAACACAAGUUUUAAGUUUGAAAGAUGCAAUUGCAUCACUCAAAGAUGAUCCCGCGUUGUAUUAGCUAGUUGGUGAGGUAAAGGCCCACCAAGGCGAUGAUACAUAGCCGACCUGAGAGGGUGAUCGGCCACAUUGGGACUGAGACACGGCCCAAACUCCUACGGGAGGCAGCAGUAGGGAAUCUUCGGCAAUGGACGAAAGUCUGACCGAGCAACGCCGCGUGAGUGAAGAAGGUUUUCGGAUCGUAAAACUCUGUUGGUAGAGAAGAACGUUGGUGAGAGUGGAAAGCUCAUCAAGUGACGGUAACUACCCAGAAAGGGACGGCUAACUACGUG